ACCUGGCUGGCUUAAUUGGAAGAGUAUCUAACUCUUGAUCUCAGGGUCAUGAGUUCAAGCCUCAUGUUAGGUA
RNAcentral lists this transfer RNA (73 nucleotides) under Felis catus (domestic cat). It matches the Rfam family "tRNA". From Rfam's summary of the family: Transfer RNA (tRNA) molecules are approximately 80 nucleotides in length. Their secondary structure includes four short double-helical elements and three loops (D, anti-codon, and T loops). Lineage: Eukaryota; Metazoa; Chordata; Mammalia; Carnivora; Felidae. The record is from Rfam by way of RNAcentral. RNAcentral also lists the same sequence under 3 other names.